UACGGGGGGGGCAAGCGUUGUUCGGAAUUACUGGGCGUAAAGGGUAGGUAGGUGGUCUCAUUUGUCUGGGGUGAAAGCCUUGAGCUUAACUCAAGAAGUGCCCCAGAAACGGUGAGACUGGAGUCCUGGAGAGGGUCGUGGAAUUCCCGGUGUAGCGGUGAAAUGCGUAGAGAUCGGGAGGAACACCAGAGGCGAAAGCGGCGACCUGGACAGGUACUGACACUCAACUACGAAAGCGUGGGGAGCAAACAGG
Molecule: ribosomal RNA, 253 nt
Filed under: uncultured bacterium
Lineage: Bacteria
Description: partial 16S ribosomal RNA
Rfam family: Bacterial small subunit ribosomal RNA
Source: RNAcentral